GGAGAGGUGGCUGAGCUGGUCGAAGGCGCUCGACUCGAAAUCGAGUGACGGCGUGAAGCUGUCCGUGGGUUCGAAUCCCACCCUCUCCGCCA
RNAcentral lists this transfer RNA (92 nucleotides) under Bacillota bacterium. RNAcentral's name for it is "Firmicutes bacterium (anaerobic digester metagenome) tRNA-Ser". It matches the Rfam family "tRNA". Rfam says of the family: Transfer RNA (tRNA) molecules are approximately 80 nucleotides in length. Their secondary structure includes four short double-helical elements and three loops (D, anti-codon, and T loops). The record is from RNAcentral. Lineage: Bacteria; Bacillati; Bacillota.